This is a long non-coding RNA of Esox lucius (northern pike), 520 nucleotides long. The record is from Ensembl. Lineage: Eukaryota; Metazoa; Chordata; Actinopteri; Esociformes; Esocidae.
CUUGAAGUCAUUUCAUAAUUUCCUUAUGGGAUAAUAAAUUAAUGGUGAAAUGCGAAAAGAACCAGUAUUACAUUUUGCCGGUAUCUUUUACAUGGAUUAUGACGCGUCCGCUAUUUCACUCGCUGUAUGCAUAAACCACGCGCACUGUCACCGUAAUAAUAACUUUCUGGCAAACGUCACACUGAACCGAAUAAAAUAUCAUGAGCGAAAUAGCAUUCAGUCAUCAGUAAGCAAUAUGGAUCACAACGAUAAGAGAAUUAGAAGAGCUUUAAGGAGGCGUCCUUAUUCGUCUGCCUGUGUGAAGACCCACAACAGGCCUCCCAUCAUCACAAUGUAUGACCAAGACCAGGCAUCUGGGGUCAGAGUUUCGCUACUAAACCAGCGUAUCUCCGCCAUUAUACCAGAAACUCCCUGCCAGUCUGGGAGGAUGACUUGUGGGAUGGGGACAUCACACAAGGAGAGGUGCUCCUCAGCGAGAUCUAAUGACUCCCUAAAGACUUUCAAAAUCUGUGAACGUGAG